CAUAAUCAUUAGUCUUUUAAUUUUAGACUGGUAUGAAUGGUUAAACUAAGUAAUUUUGUCUUGAGAUAAUAUUUCUAAUUUUAUAUUUUAGUAAAAAAGCUAAAAUUUCUUUUAGGGACAAGAAGACCCUGUCAAGCUUUACAAAUUAGAUCAUUAUUCUUAAAAUGGUUGAGAUUUGUUUUACUGGGGCAGUAGAUAAUAAAAUCUUAUUUAUAUAUUGUAAGAAUAAUUUUUGUUAAAUCAGGAAAUUCCUAAAGAAAAAUAAGUUACUGCAGGGAUAACAGCGUAAUUCUUUUUAAGAGUUCUUAUCAUCAUUAGAGUUUGCGACCUCGAUGUUGGAUUAAAAUUCCUGAUUCACGCAAUAG
This 365-nucleotide ribosomal RNA is filed under the name Scorpio fuliginosus. Its description in RNAcentral is "partial 16S ribosomal RNA". The stretch from base 86 to 365 matches the Rfam family "Bacterial large subunit ribosomal RNA", at positions 2048 to 2561 of the family's 2925-position model. The record is from RNAcentral. Lineage: Eukaryota; Metazoa; Arthropoda; Arachnida; Scorpiones; Scorpionidae.